This 136-nucleotide ribosomal RNA is filed under the name uncultured bacterium. Its description in RNAcentral is "partial 16S ribosomal RNA". It matches the Rfam family "Bacterial small subunit ribosomal RNA", at positions 355 to 509 of the family's 1533-position model. The record is from RNAcentral.
UGGGGGAUAUUGCACAAUGGGGGGAACCCUGAUGCAGCGACGCCGCGUGGGUGAAGAAGCGCCUCGCGCGUAAAGCCCUGUCAGCAGGGAAGAAAAUGACGGUACCUGAAGAAGAAGCCCCGGCUAACUACGUGCC